UAGUAAAAACAUGGAAGAGGAGGAAGCCACUUCACAUGAUGAGAGUCAAGAGGAGACAACUGAAUGUGCAGGAUGCAUGAACAUCAUCGAUGAAGAUGAGUUCUUCUCAGCUCUAGGGCAAGACUGGCAUACAGAUUGUUUUAGGUGUAGUGCCUGUGAUGUAACCCUAAGCAGCUGGUACUUUGAAAAGGAUGGUCUACUCUUUUGUAAAAAUGAUUAUUGGAAGAAGUAUGGAGAGGCCUGCCAAGAUUGUGGCCAGAUUAUCACUGGUCCAGUCAUGGUGGCAGGAGACCACAAGUUCCACCCAGAAUGUUUCAUCUGUACAUCAUGCUCUGCGUUUAUUGGUGAUGGCGAGUCAUAUGCUCUUGUUGAGAGAUCUAAGUUAUACUGUGGACUGUGUUAUAAGAGACAGAUGCAACCAUUAAACAAGUCAUCAUCAUAUACAAAGAAACCUCACAGUAUCCAGCUUAUUGAGUUACCUGCCAAGUCUGAUAAUCAGCGUAGAAUCAAGCUUAGUGUUGACUCAAGAAAGGGCUUCCCUCUUGCAGGACUCAGUAAUUACAGAGGUCUACGCAUUGCAGAUGUUCCAUCACUCAAAGAAAGGUUACAACAGUUGGAUUCUGCAGCAGACUUAAUGUCUCUGCAUGUUGGAGAUCGAAUUCUUGAAGUGAAUGGAAGACCUGUUGAAGACCACUGUAUUGCUGAUAUUGAAAACCUUAUUACUUGCUCUCAGGAUGUGUUGCAGUUAACCAUUGAGCAUGAUCCAGAGCAGGUGUCGACAAGACGACAAAGUUUUCCCUUUGUGUCACCAUGUCGGAACGUCUCGCCCAUCCAUGACCAGCAACAGAAAGAAGGUUUGCGAGAGCGUCUAUUUAAGCGAAGGGAUGAAGGCUAUGUAUCCGGUACACAACGCAGUCGUCAGUUAAGACGUGGAAGAGGGUGCAAAGAGAGAGCAUCCUCCCUUCCUAAGUUAUUAGAUAAUGACUCUCCCCGUGAAUCUGGCUACUAUGAUCUGAGUAGAACUAAGUCAUUCCGUGUAGAACCAAAGAAUCAUCGAAUCUUCCGUGCAUCUGAUCUCACUCAGGGAGAACUUCUUGGUAAAGGUUUCUUUGGACAGGUUUAUAAAAUGACACAUUCAGAGACAGGUGAAGUUAUGGUUUUGAAGGAACUGUACAGAGUAGAUGAGCAAGCCCAGAAGAACUUCCUGAAAGAGGUUGCAGUUCUUAGAAGUUUGAGUCACAAGAAUGUCUUAAGAUUUAUUGGAGUCCUCUACAAGGACCGUAAACUUCACCUGCUCACCGAACACAUUGGUGGGGGAACCCUGAAGGAGAUUAUACACAACCUAGAAGAGUCUUUACCUUGGGAUCAACGAAUUAGUUUUGCGAAAGACAUAGCCUCAGGCAUGGCGUACCUACAUAAUUGUGAUAUUAUUCAUAGGGAUCUUAACUCCAAUAACUGCCUAGUCAGAGAAGAUAAGACGGUUGUAGUUGCAGACUUUGGAUUGGCGAGAAUUAUGCCUCAGAACAACUGGACUGCUGAGAGGAAAAAGUUUGGGAAAAAACAUGCGAGAAAGAAAAGAUAUACUGUUGUGGGUAACCCGUACUGGAUGGCCCCAGAAAUGAUGAAGGGAAAUAAAUAUGACGAGAAGGUGGACAUCUUCAGUUUUGGUAUUAUCUUAUGUGAGAUCAUUGGACGAGUGGAAGCUGAUCCUGAUUACAUGCCACGAUCCAUGGAUUUUGGCCUCAAUGAGACGGUGUUUUUUACCAAAUAUUGUGAAAACUGCCCUGAACCUUUCUACAAAAUUGCCUUUAUGUGUUGCAACAUAAAUCCUGACGAUAGACCAGCAUUUGAGGUACUGGAGGUUUGGUUGGAAGGAUUGGCAAUGCACUUUGCUGUUGGAGUUCCUGUCCCAGCCAACCUACUGGUCGACAUAUAUAACUUUGAUGGAAGAGGUCAAAGUAGUUCAUCUGAAGCAUCUACUCCAGAGGCCCCAACACCAGAUUCAAGACACCCUCCACCUCUCUUACGCACUAUAAGUGAAGGAACUUAUUCCACUAUUGAUAACUUAAGCCAUGAUUCCUCAUCAUCCUUUUCUGGAGUGGACCGAACAUGCUUUGAUUCUCAAGAGACACUUCUAAAUGACACAAGUUGGAAGUUAAGGAAGACCUUAGAUUUAGGUAAAUUAGAUAUUUUGAAACCAAGCUGGAGCCCCGGUAAUAAUGUAGCUAGAACAGAUUCUGUGAUUAAUAAUUCAAGUGUGAAAACUGAAGGAAGUUUAGAGCAAAAUUCCAUUCCAGAUACUCUUUCUUCUUUCUCUCGGUCAAAGGCCAGCAGCUUGGUGGGGGGGGAAGUAGAGUGUACACAACUAUGAUUUUUUUUUUUUUUUUUUAUUCAUUUAUAGUAAGAGGUAAGUUAUGUUUGCAAUAAUGUACAGGGAUAUUUGUUACAAGAGGUUAAUGAGUUUUCCUAUUGAAUUGCAUUGGAAAGUAUUUAACAAAAGAUUGGUACAAAGUUGACUUAUAGCAUUCCUUUUAUAGUGAUGUUAGAAAUACCUUUAUAGGUAGUGGAGUAGAAUUAUAAUGACUAAGCAGUUAUUAUUAUUAUAAAUAAUUUUUCGCUCAUGUUGUUUCCCUAUUUGUUGGAGAGCUACAGCAGAGCCUCUUCCUUGGACUGGUGAUAUCUCAUACCUGCAACAAACUGGAACCCAUCUUGGAGUUAGGUCUGCUCUCACUCUUGUUGAACUACAAGCAAGAGGAAUGGAAAGUAAAUAGUCAUAAUAACUUCCCAUCAAUCAAUACGAAACAGAAAAUGGUUCAUCAGGAGGAACAUACCUGUACAUUGAAGAUGACAGGAAGAUGGCUAUCAAAAACAGUGAGGAGGAUCCUCCUUGCUGUCGAAGUGAUUUCAAGUUGUCAUGAUCAUUAGGGAAAUUAGGUAGGUAUAUAAUUAUCUGUAU
This 2956-nucleotide unclassified non-coding RNA is filed under the name Homarus americanus (American lobster). RNAcentral's name for it is "lIM domain kinase 1-like, transcript variant X2". Lineage: Eukaryota; Metazoa; Arthropoda; Malacostraca; Decapoda; Nephropidae. The record is from RNAcentral.